RNAcentral lists this long non-coding RNA (501 nucleotides) under Helianthus annuus (common sunflower). Lineage: Eukaryota; Viridiplantae; Streptophyta; Magnoliopsida; Asterales; Asteraceae. The record is from RNAcentral.
CGGCAAUGAUUUGAAUGAUUUAUCCGCGCUUCUGAGAGUAAUCAAUGAAGUAAAGGAUUUAAAAUGGUUGAAUUUCUUAAUAUGAGCCGACUAUUUUUUUCAUGUAAAUAUGCAGUGAUGAUUGAAUACACAGCUUUAAGCCAGUUCUGCUUCAGAAAAUUCAUGAUUGAUAGAGCUGUUAUUUACUCUGAGCUCAACUAAAUGUGUUUUUUUUAAUUGGUUUUCCGGUGAUGAUAUAAUCCGAUUGUAUGAGGGUACGUGGAUCCAAGACCCUGUUUACAGGGAGAACCACUUGGUUGAAGCUGUAUUUCAAUGAUAUUACUGGAUUUUACUGAGGAUUAUUAAUUUUAAUUAUUAUUAUUAUUGAGUUUAAACUAUACUUUUUACCCUGGAUUAUUUAACGGGUUUGGAGUCUGAAAAAACUCAGAAAGUAUUGUGUUGUCAUCAGCUUCUUCUUUCGUAACAUUCACGAGACUGGAGUUAAAUAACAGCACUAAAUUG